RNAcentral lists this ribosomal RNA (293 nucleotides) under Alphaproteobacteria bacterium. Its description in RNAcentral is "partial 23S ribosomal RNA". It matches the Rfam family "Bacterial large subunit ribosomal RNA", at positions 2622 to 2925 of the family's 2925-position model. Lineage: Bacteria; Pseudomonadati; Pseudomonadota; Alphaproteobacteria. The record is from RNAcentral.
UGAGACAGUUUGGUCCCUAUCUGCCGUGGGUGUAGGAUACUUGAGAAGAGUUGCUCCUAGUACGAGAGGACCGGAGUGAACGAACCUCUGGUGUACCGGUUAUUGCGCCAGCAGUAACGCCGGGUAGCUAUGUUCGGACGGGAUAAACGCUGAAAGCAUCUAAGCGUGAAGCCUCCUUCAAAACUAGGUAUCCCUAUCAGGGCCGUCGAAGACUACGACGUUGAUAGGCCGGAUGUGGAAGCGCUGCGAGGCGUGAAGCUAACCGGUACUAAUUGCCCGAUCGGCUUGAGAUU